Molecule: ribosomal RNA, 424 nt
Filed under: uncultured cyanobacterium
Lineage: Bacteria; Bacillati; Cyanobacteriota
Description: bacterial SSU rRNA
Rfam family: Bacterial small subunit ribosomal RNA
Source: RNAcentral
GGAAUUUUCCGCAAUGGGCGAAAGCCUGACGGAGCAAUACCGCGUGAGGGAAGACUGCCUAUGGGUUGUAAACCUCUUUUUUCAGGGAGGAACAAAAUGACGUGUACCUGAAGAAUAAGCAUCGGCUAACUCCGUGCCAGCAGCCGCGGUAACACGGGAGUGGCAAGCGUUAUCCGGAAUUAUUGGGCGUAAAGCGUCCGCAGGCGGUCUGUCAAGUCUGCUGUUAAAGCGUGGAGCUUAACUCCAUUUCGGCAGUGGAAACUGACAGACUAGAGUGUGGUAGGGGCAGAGGGAAUUCCCGGUGUAGCGGUGAAAUGCGUAGAUAUCGGGAAGAACACCAGUGGCGAAGGCGCUCUGCUGGGCCACAACUGACGCUCAUGGACGAAAGCCAGGGGAGCGAAAGGGAUUAGAUACCCCAGUAGUC